This 9297-nucleotide long non-coding RNA is filed under the name Triticum aestivum (bread wheat). Its description in RNAcentral is "long non-coding RNA (TAES_LNC008640)". The record is from RNAcentral. Lineage: Eukaryota; Viridiplantae; Streptophyta; Magnoliopsida; Poales; Poaceae.
AAAUACAUGUAUAUGAGAUUACAUCAUUGAUGAAUACAAUUAUCUGGCAUAGCCCUAAGGCUAUUAAAUGACAGCGGAAGUCUGGAAAAAAUGGCGGCGGAAGUCUUGGUUUGGCAGCAUAACAACUCUGGCUGGGCUCCACAACUCACAGGACUGGCAAGGUUACGGCCUAGCACGACGGAUCAAGCGAACAAUUCGGGUAUGACCUACAAAACUGGCAUGACACGCCAGGUCAGUACAUUGAAUGUACUUGCAAGACAACCAAAUACAUAGCAUCCAAACAAGCAGAAGACAAAGCAAGAACCAAGCGCAUGCAACAACCUAUCUCAUAUCAAUUACUAAACAUGGCAUGACAAAAAUUCAACUAAGCAUGAACCAAAUCAUAACAUCUACUAACAUGGCAAUGACAUGGCAUAUCAGAUCAUGCUUCUAACAUGGCAAUGGCAAAGCAUAUCAUCUCAAUCAUGGCAUAAUUUAACAUGUCAAUCGAAGCAUGGAAUGGCAUCAUGAAACUAUGCUGAAAAUAAACUACCGAUUAUAUCCAAUGCAGACAUAGCAUGUUAACUAUAUACAAUCAUCUUCUGUUCUGCCUUAGGUUUUUAAAUGCAACAAAUUACUCAUGCAAUGCAACCAAACUCGUACACCGAGUCCCUCAGACUCUCUUACCAACGUGUUGCCUCGCAACCGAGCGGUGAUCAUUCCGGCGAUCACAACCAUGACCAACACUUGGUCUCCAACACUUAUCGGGACCUCGUCUCGUGAUCAUAUCAAAACAUCGUCGUGACUUCUCACGACUAUCUCAUAGUCCAAGUCACCAUAUUUUUGUUAUCACAUAUUUAUUUACCAAUUUAAUUAUUUCAGGUUUAUCCUCCAUUUCGACCAAGACCUGAUAGUGGGACCUACUACGAACUAUUGCUAUCGAUAGACUUUAUACACUCUGCACAGGUAGCACACUGUACCCACACCACGGAACCCAUGGCCUCGUCAUCCCAUUUGAGAGGACCAACGGCAUUCCGACGAAACCAACCUACUGCCAUGACGCUCUCCCGGCCACUCCGACCCAAUCCCCAACGGGCUGGUCCUGGGUGGCCCCGUGUCUACUAAAGACGCCCCGACCACCGUCGUGGUCAACUCCCACUCGGGGACUGGUACCAAAAAUCUCAAAAACGAGCACACAAGGUUAUGUCCGCUUACCUGAUCAGGGUAAGCACGCCCAUAACCUUCCCUAGUGGGAGGCACCGGCGAGAGGUCACGACAAUAGCUCGCAUUAAGGCCUUCCCACAAAGGCAAAUGUGGCUGCACUGAAAAAGUUCGAUUUGGUGGCACUAUGACUCGAUCCCAUCGAUGACGGAGGAGGUUUGUUAUUAUUAAGUCAUUUUAAUUCCUUCUCCAUCAUCACGAACAUGAAUGCAACAAUGAGCAUGCAGCAUACGAUUGCAUGAACAAAAUAUUGAACUACUCAAGUGCACAGCUAUAGCAUAAAGAACAUGACAAUACCAAGUAAUAGCAUAUCAACGGUGCAUUACAAUCCUCAUAACAUUGUAUAACGAUGACAUGCAAAUAAAGUAGAGUAGUGAAAUGGCAUUAUCAAUAACAACAUUUUAAUUAGCAUGGCAAAAGAUAUCAUGAAAACGCAAGCAUGCGUGACAGGCAUAAAGGAAUAACUGUAGAUGAAAACGAUAUGAAACAACUGCAACUACACACACACAAGGUGCAAGCAAAGUCAACAUGCAAGUUCGGGGCUCAUGAUAAGAGGUUGGCUUGCCUGGGGGUCGAGGAAUACUCCGGGAAAAAAAGUGGAGCGAUCGCGGAAAGAGUUGCCGGAAACAGUUCUCUCUUGGAGGGGCUGUUUACGGGCAAUGGCAAAAUGGUCAUUUUCAAAAUGUUCGAACAUCAAGAAAAUGGUCCCAUCGAAAAGGGCUCGACGAACAGAAAAAUUGAGCGUUGGAAUCACCUUAUUCGGAGUUACGGGUAAAAAGAUACCGACGUUUAAAGCUCAGGGACUAGUCUGUAAAAAUACUUCUACAAACAGGUCCCUGGUAGUUUAAACAGAACGUGUCUUUUCUGAAAAUACGUUUUCCAGAGAGGAAACGUAUUCCCGGCCGAAGGAGAGGAAAAAUACGCUUUCAGAGAUUGAAAGCGCACUUUCCCGAAAUGCGCUUUCGCGCGGGGAAAACGACUUCGCGGUGGGGCGCCGCCACUUAUCCGACGUGGCAAGCGGGGCCACGGCCUACGUCGCCAACAGGUGGGGCCGCGCGGGAAGGGGGCCUGCCUGGCCCUGGCGUCUUCAACCUCCCGCUCGGGAUCGAGCGAGGCCGAGGGAGGGGGUCGCCUCGACGGCGGUCGCCGGCGCGUCCGGCCACCACAUGGGGCGCGCGACCUACCUAGACGCUCAGGGCGGAGAGGCGCAUCAGAUGGAGGUCUCCGUUGCCGGCGACGAGCACGGGAGAGGGAGUCACACAGCCCGCGGCGGAGAGGGGCUACGGCCUCCGGUGAACUAGGGGCUCCGGUGGGGAAAACGGUCGGGCGAGGCGAUGGGGAGGCUUGACGGACUCCGGGCGAGGCUCUGGUGGAGUCUAAAUGGCAAGGACCGCGCGGGAUCGCCGGAAUCGAGAGGGACCCGAGGCGGCGACCACAGCGGCGAUGGAAGUGGAGGAGUGACACCGGGGACGAGAGGAGGGGUUGGGGAGGCGUAGAGGAGGGUGAGGAAUCUCAUGAAGAGCUCGAGGGGGUCGCGGGCUCCUUUUAUAGCCGGGGCGAGGGGUGGCCGAGCCGUGCACAACCGAGCGCGUCCGUCCACGGCUCUGCCGGCCGCAGCAGUCACGGAAGUGCACGGGAAGGCGACGAGGAGGGUCAAGACGAGCAGCAGAGGCUCAUGGAGACGAGAGGCGCUCGGGGACGAAAGGAGGAAGCGGACAAAGGCGAGGAAGAUGACAAGCUCACGGGCGCGCACUGCUCGGUCGUUGGCACGGCUCGUCGAAGAAGAAAACGAAGGGGGGCAGCGGUCCAGAGGGAAGACGACGACGAGGGGGGGGGGCUACUGGACAUUAAUGGCGAGGCCAGAGGCGGUCGGGGCAGCGAUGCCGACGACCACAGUGGCUAGACCACCGUUUUGGCUGGCUACACGCGUGGUCACCACUAGCAUGGCACGCUCUGGGGUAUUUUACUGAUAUAAGUUCAUGUCUACCGCGUAGUCCUUCCAGAGUGGAGUGUUACCAUGGUGAAUGAUCGGGCAGAGACAAAUGGAGAUGAGUGAAACAAGCUCCACAAGUUUGUUGUUGCAAACUUGGCAACACCCUAGAUAUUAAACCAGAGAGGGUAAAUGGUAAACUUGAUGUCUGGGAGGCUUGGGGUAGAAAGGACUACGGUCCUGGGAGUUUUGAGGUAAAAUGGACAACUAUUUACCAUAGUUGCUGUACAACCACCAAAACGGACCCAGAAACUUAAUCAUGAUGAAACACUCACUAGGAGUGAUGGAUUGGGCUAUAACUUGGCAAAGCCUGAUGAUUUGAACAUAUCAUGAUGCUGUAAAAAGUUCAUACCAAAUGGACUCACCAAAAUGGUACUUCCUUCACAGCUAUCAUUUCUGUCCAAAAACUUCAGACAAAUCCUCAGGGCAAUUGGUCAAGUGAAAUGAGCCACAAUCUUGUGGAGAUAGGUUAUAUGAGUAGGAGAAGGCCUGGAAAUAUUAUCAGCCAUAAUGGAGCAAGAUAAAAUACACUUGCUUCACAAACUAAAAAUUUGGACAGAAAACAAGAAUUGCUCCUGUGCUCACAUAGUUCAAUGAAAUGAACUGAAUUUGGGUGGAGGAUAAUGAUUUGAGAUACUUGAGAGGAUGGAAGAGUUUCAUCCCAUUGGGAAACACUAUGAAGGUACUUCCUUCACAAACUUGUGUUCUGGUCAGAAACUUUGAAAAAUUGCACAGGGAGCUAGGGUGAAUGGAUUGAGCUCAUCUUUGGUAUGCAUGGGUUAUUUAACAAUGUUAAGCACCCUUCCAAAUUGCAGCUCAAUUGGACUUAGCAAUAAAGCACUUCCUUUGCAAAAUUUCAAAGAAGGCAGAAACUUGCAUUGGAUCAUGUGCCAAAUUUUGAACUGUGGAAUCAUGAUAUUAGGAUGGAACUAGUGAUUAUAUAGCAAGGACAAGCUCCACAAUUUAUGUGGGAAUUUUCUCUGCUAUAAAAAUAGUAGUUCCUUUGGAAAUUGGCAGAAAUGCAAUAUUGGCAUUAAAUAGGAAAAGGCUAUUUUCAUUAUUUAAUUAUGGCCAAUAUACUUGCCAGUGCUUGGAUUAGGCAUAAGUAUCAACUCCACCAACUCUCAUGAAUUUAGGAGAUGGCUAGAUAUGCCUUUGGAUUUUAUUCCUCAGAAAGGCAAGAAAAGGAAUAAAUCAUAAUUCAAAAAUAUUGCAUUCGACUUAGCAAUAUUUUUGCAUAUCCAAGGUUAAGAAAGAUAGGAUGAUCUCUGGGAUCAAUUGGGAGGAUCAACAGAACAAGGAAAAUGGUCGCUCCUUUGAUCACAAGGGCAUAUCCAAAUUCCAAAAUUUGGAAUUAGGGUUUAAGAGGAAUUGAGCUGAUGCAAAUGAGGUCUUGCCCACUGAAAAAGACAUGAGCAGGAUUUUGAAAGGUUGGAAAUGACAAAAUUUUCUCAGGGUCAUCCAGCAAACUCAGGAGAAAAUUUUGAAAAUGAGUGCCAGGAGAGAAUAACAGCACAAAAAUUGAUAACCCAAUUUUGGGGCUGUUACAACUCUUCCCCCCUUAAAAAGAAAUCUCGUCCUCGAGAUUCCUAGGGUUACUGCACAAACGAAAGAAUAACAACUCCGGAGAAAAACCUCGGGGUUGAUUUUAACCCUUUGGUUAAAUUCAAACGAGUUGGGGGCACCGAGAAAAAAAAAUCGCGGAUUCCUUCACGAAACAUAGGUGUCGAGGUAGAAUCAAGGGUGAAACCUGUAUCGGGGUAGAUGUACUGGAUCGAGUGAAAUAAAAUUGGCAGUGUUUCUCGUAAAUGAAAUCAGGAAAAAGAAUUAGAGACGAGGAAUUUCCAAGCGAAAAUGCCUCUGCGGGGUUUCUAGAGUUGGAAAUCCGACACACGGCGUAUGCACAGAUAGAUAGGGAUAUGUGACUUUGCAUUUCCCCGAGUACUGCCCGAAUGUACUUGUGGGUGAACCGGGUAUGCGUGCAGUAUGCAGAAAAAUCUAAACUAGCAAACAGACAGAGGCAAUAAACAUGCAACGGGAAAGACACCAGGCAAAAUCAUUCUACGGUGUUUUAAUGCUAGUGGGUAUAUGUACUCCUGGUAUACAUAUACCUACACCAGCGCGCAUUUUAUUAUAGACUCGAGAUGAGUCAGGGUUAAUUUAGUGUAUGUGAUCUACUAAUUAAAAUCUUGUUAGCAACACAGUGUCAACCCUGUCAAACAUUUCUGCUUGACAGAGAGACAAGCAAAAACAACACAAAAACAAAAGCACAAAAACAUACAUAGAACACGGCAUACGGACUACAACAGUACCAGCAAACAACAGAACACGAACAUGCUACGCGCUAAACGAAGCAACUCAUCUAGGGAUACAUAGUUCUACCCUCAUAUCGAGGAUGAACUGACAGACCGAUCAUCUUACUGCUUGACUGAGGUCAUGCAGAGGAUUUGCCUUGCUGGGGCUCUCCGGGAGGACGAAGACUGAACCAAUCUCCAUCUUCAUCAUCCGACACUACUAUGGGUUGGGGUUCGGCUGCUGGGGGUGUGGCUGAAAUUGAUCCGAGCAAAUGCUGUUGGUGGAUCUGUAAAAGAGCCUUGUCGAGGGUGACGAUAUUGGGUCUAGGCCACAAGACGGGUUGAGAGGACAGCACUGGUUCGGAUGGCGUUGGACAAAUGACUCAAGAUGCGAAUUUACGAGCCUCACGGUAAGCUUCCUUGAUGACUCGCACCGCAUCGUUGUCCAAAGUUUGAAACUCGGCAAGCAUCUAGGAAAUCAUCAUCCCCUGGGCGGUAAUAUACUGCACUAGGCGAGCGAUUGCGGGGUCAUCUCCUUGCCUAGCGGGAGAAGGCUGCAUUCCUACCUCUGUCACAAUGGGGUAGAAGCAGAAAUCACGCCUUGCUGCCAUAUGCGGGUAUCUGGUUCGGAGGUGAAGCAUAGCCUCCACAGCAGCGGCCUGAAUGGCUAAAUCAGAGGUAGGCAUAGCUCUAUCCUGAAAAACCAACGGCUGGCCAUCCGCUGCUAGGCUGAUGCACACUCUUGCAUCGAAACGAUGAAGGUGAGGGAUGGGUGAUGAUUGGAACACCAGGUAAUCGGGGCUAGCCUUACAGCCAAAGGCUUUGGUGAGCAUCUCAGCAAGAAGGGGUGGAAAGCCGGGGUGGUUGACAGCACCGGUGCGGGUGUGAAACUUGGGAGCCUUGAAGGUGCCAGUCAUGGCUGGAGUGCUACUAGCUAGGCUUCUCUGCAGGGACAUGGCUGACUGAGGGGUGAGCGAUACAGCGAGCGGAAAGGAGGCUUUUAUAGGCAGCUAUGCGGGACAUGCCCGCAUGGUGUGGCCCCUUUCCCUUAAUGGCGAAGGGUGAGCGGUGUGGCCGACCAGAAAGGAUAUGGUUGCUAUUCGCACCACGGAUAACUAGGCGGGGACAGCGGGGUGAGGACGUGUCCAUCCCGACUGCGCCACCUAUUGAUUAACAGUGGCCAUGCCGGAUGCAGGGAUGGGUCAAAUCCCUUAGGGCCAUUACUGGUUAAUGGGAGCGGUGAUCUAAUACUAGGAUAACCUAUGCCAGCCUUGCUGCUCUGAUACCAUGCCCUGUGGCACCCCGAUCUGCAUGGAGCAGGGGGCCUUCGCACGUCAGCCCAAGAUAACACCUGACGCACGACAGGUCCAUAAUACAGCAUUCCAGGUACAAAAAUAUUCAUCAAAUACAUGUAUAUGAGAUUACAUCAUUGAUGAAUACAAUUAUCUGGCAUAGCCCUAAGGCUAUUAAAUGACAGCGGAAGUCUGGAAAAAAUGGCGGCGGAAGUCUUGGUUUGGCAGCAUAACAACUCUGGCUGGGCUCCACAACUCACAGGACUGGCAAGGUUACGGCCUAGCACGACGGAUCAAGCGAACAAUUCGGGUAUGACCUACAAAACUGGCAUGACACGCCAGGUCAGUACAUUGAAUGUACUUGCAAGACAACCAAAUACAUAGCAUCCAAACAAGCAGAAGACAAAGCAAGAACCAAGCGCAUGCAACAACCUAUCUCAUAUCAAUUACUAAACAUGGCAUGAUAAAAAUUCAACUAAGCAUGAACCAAAUCAUAACAUCUACUAACAUGGCAAUGACAUGGCAUAUCAGAUCAUGCUUCUAACAUGGCAAUGGCAAAGCAUAUCAUCUCAAUCAUGGCAUAAUUUAACAUGUCAAUUGAAGCAUGGCAUGGCAUCAUGAAACUAUGCUGAAAAUAAACUACCGAUUAUAUCCAAUGCAGACAUAGCGUGUUAACUAUAUACAAUCAUCUUCUGUUCUGCCUUAGGUUUUUAAAUGCAACAUAUUACUCAUGCAAUGUAACCAAACUCGUACACCGAGUCCCUCGGACUCUCUUACCAACGUGUUGCCUCGCAACCGAGCGGUGAUCAUUCCGGCGAUCACAACCAUGACCAACACUUGGUCUCCAACACUUAUCGAGACCUCGUCUCGUGAUCAUAUCAAAACAUCAUCGUGACUUCUCACGACUAUCUCAUAGUCCAAGUCACCACAUUUUUGUUAUCACAUAUUUAUUUACCAAUUUAAUUAUUUCAGGUUUAUCCUCCAUUUCGACCAAGACCUGAUAGUGGGACCUACUACGAACUGUUGCUAUCGAUAGACUUUAUACACUCUGCAGAGGUAGCACACUGUACCCACACCACGGAACCCAUGGCCUCGUCAUCCCAUUCGGGUGGACCAACGGCAUUCCGACAAAACCAACCUACUUCCAUGACGCUCUCCCGGCCACUCCGACCCAAUCCCCAACGGGCUGGUCCUGGGUGGCCCCGUGUCUACCAAAGACACCCCGACCACCGUCGUGGUCAACUCCCACUCGGGGACACUCCCACUCGGGGACUGGUACCAAAAAUCUCAAAACGAGCACACAAGGUUAUGUCCGCUUACCUGAUCAGGGUAAGCAUGCCCAUAACCUUCCCUAGUGGGAGGCACCGGCGAGAGGUCACGACAAUAGCUCGCAUUAAGGCCUUCCCACAAAGGCAAAUGUGGCUGCACUGAAAAAGUUCCAUUUGGUGGCACUAUGACUCGAUCCCAUCGAUGACGGAGGAGGUUCGUUAUUAUUAAGUCAUUUUAAUUCCUUCUCCAUCAUCAUGAACAUGAAUGCAACAAUGAGCAUGCAGCAUACAAUUGCAUGAACAAAAUAUUGAACUACUCAAGUGCACAGCUAUAGCAUAAAGAACAUGACAAUACCAAGUAAUAGCAUAUCAACGGUGCAUUACAAUCCUCAUAACAUUGUAUAACGAUGACAUGCAAAUAAAGUAGAGUAGUGACAUGGCAUUAUCAAUAACAACAUUUUAAUUAGCAUGGCAAAAGAUAUCAUGAAAACGCAAGCAUGCAUGACAGGCAUAAAGGAAUAACUGCAGAUGAAAACGAUAUGAAACAAUUGCAACUACACACACGCACAAGGUGCAAGCAAAGUCAACAUGCAAGUUCGGGGCUCAUGAUAAGAGGUUGGCUUGCCUGGGGGUCGAGGAAUACUCCGGAAAAAAAUGCGGAGCGAUCGCGGAAAGAGUUGCCGGAAACAGUUCUCUCUUGGAGGGGCUGUUUACGGGCAAUGGCAAAAUGGUCAUUUUCAGAAUGUUCAAACAUCAAGAAAAUGGUCCCAUCGAAAAGGGCUCGACGAACAGAAAAAUUGAGCGUUGGAAUCACCUUAUUCGGAGUUACGGGUAAAAAGAUACCGACGUUUAAAGCUCAGGGACUAGUCUGUAAAAGUACUUCGACAAACAGGUCCCUGGUAGUUUAAACAGAACGUGUCUUUUCUGAAAAUACGUUUUCCAGAGAGGGAAACGUAUUCCCGGCCGAAGGAGAGGGAAAAUACACUUUCAGAGUUUGAAAGCGCACUUUCCAGAAAUGCGCUUUCGCGCGGGGAAAACGACUUCACGGCGGGGCGCCGCCACUUAUACGACGUGGCAAGCGGGGCCAUGCCCUACGGUCGCCGACAGGUGGGGCCGCGCGGGAAGGGGGCCCGCCUGGCCCUGGCGUCUUCAACCUCCCGCUCGGGAUCGAGCGAGGCCGAGGGAGGGGGUCGCCUCGACGGCGGUCGUCGGCGCGUCCGGCUACCACACGGGCCGCGCGACCUACCCAGACG